AGAGUUUGAUCAUGGCUCAGGAUGAACGCUAGCGGCAGGCUUAACACAUGCAAGUCGAGGGGUAUAGGUUUUCGGACCUAGAGACCGGCGCACGGGUGCGUAACGCGUAUGCAAUCUACCUUUUACAGAGGGAUAGCCCAGAGAAAUUUGGAUUAAUACCUCAUAGUAUUAUUGAAUGGCAUCAUUUAAUAAUUAAAGUCACAACGGUAAAAGAUGAGCAUGCGUCCCAUUAGCUAGUUGGUAAGGUAACGGCUUACCAAGGCAACGAUGGGUAGGGGUCCUGAGAGGGAGAUCCCCCACACUGGUACUGAGACACGGACCAGACUCCUACGGGAGGCAGCAGUGAGGAAUAUUGGUCAAUGGGCGCAAGCCUGAACCAGCCAUGCCGCGUGCAGGAUGAAGCAUCUAUGGUGUGUAAACUGCUUUUGUACGAGAAGAAACACUCCUACGUGUAGGAGCUUGACGGUAUCGUAAGAAUAAGGACCGGCUAACUCCGUGCCAGCAGCCGCGGUAAUACGGAGGGUCCAAGCGUUAUCCGGAAUCAUUGGGUUUAAAGGGUCCGUAGGCGGUUUUGUAAGUCAGUGGUGAAAGCCCAUCGCUCAACGGUGGAACGGCCAUUGAUACUGCAAGACUUGAAUUAUUGGGAAGUAACUAGAAUAUGUAGUGUAGCGGUGAAAUGCUUAGAGAUUACAUGGAAUACCAAUUGCGAAGGCAGGUUACUACCAAUAUAUUGACGCUGAUGGACGAAAGCGUGGGGAGCGAACAGGAUUAGAUACCCUAGUAGUCC
RNAcentral lists this ribosomal RNA (787 nucleotides) under uncultured bacterium. RNAcentral describes it as "bacterial SSU rRNA". It matches the Rfam family "Bacterial small subunit ribosomal RNA", at positions 8 to 796 of the family's 1533-position model. The record is from RNAcentral.